Mycena epipterygia is the source of this 93-nucleotide non-coding RNA. The record is from the annotation of a GenBank genome assembly. Lineage: Eukaryota; Fungi; Basidiomycota; Agaricomycetes; Agaricales; Mycenaceae.
GCGGACGUGGUGCACGGCGCACUGUUGCCAUGCAUGAUUGUAACGCUGUAGCAUGUGCUGCAGCCAGACGGGGUUCGACUCCCCGCGUCCGCA